UUGGAGGGCAAGUCUGGUGCCAGCAGCCGCGGUAAUUCCAGCUCCAAUAGCGUAUAUUAAAGUUGCUGCAGUUAAAAAGCUCGUAGUUGAAUUUCGAGACCGGUUUAUUGGUCGUGCUUUUGUACGUACUGGUAUUAUUGGUUUCUCCUUUCUGACGAAUCUUAAUGCCAUUAAUUUGGUGUUUUGGGGAAUCAGGACUGUUCUUUGAAAAAAUUAGAGUGUUUAAAGCAGGCUCACGCUUGAAUACAUUAGCAUGGAAUAACGGAAUAGGACGUUUGAUUCUAUUUUGUUGGUUUCUAGGAUCGACGUAAUGAUUAAUAGGGAUAGUUGGGGGCAUUAGUAUUCAAUUGUCAGAGGUGAAAUUCUUGGAUUUAUUGAAGACUAACUACUGCGAAAGCAUUUGCCAAGGAUGUUUUCAUUAAUCAAGAACGAAAGUUAGGGGAUCGAAGACGAUCAGAUACCGUCGUAGUCUUAACCAUAAACUAUGCCGACUAGGGAUCGGAUGAUGUUAAUUUUUUAAUGACUCAUUCGGCGCCUUACGGGAAAC
This 547-nucleotide ribosomal RNA is filed under the name uncultured Glomeromycotina. RNAcentral's name for it is "SSU rRNA". It matches the Rfam family "Eukaryotic small subunit ribosomal RNA", at positions 548 to 1098 of the family's 1831-position model. Lineage: Eukaryota; Fungi; Glomeromycota. The record is from RNAcentral.